ACAUGCAAGUCGAGCGGUAAGGRCCUUCGGGGUACACGAGCGGCGAACGGGUGAGUAACACGUGGGUGAUCUGCCUCGUACUCUGGGAUAAGCCUGGGAAACUGGGUCUAAUACCGGAUAUGACCACGAAUCGCAUGGUUUGUGGUGGAAAGAUUUAUCGGUGCNANAUGGGCCCGCGGCCUAUCAGCUUGUUGGUGGGGUAAUGGCCUACCAAGGCGACGACGGGUAGCCGACCUGAGAGGGUGACCGGCCACACUGGGACUGAGACACGGCCCAGACUCCUACGGGAGGCAGCAGUGGGGAAUAUUGCACAAUGGGCGAAAGCCUGAUGCAGCGACGCCGCGUGAGGGAUGACGGCCUUCGGGUUGUAAACCUCUUUCGACAGGGACGAAGCGCAAGUGACGGUACCUGUAGAAGAAGCACCGGCCAACUACGUGCCAGCAGCCGCGGUAAUACGUAGGGUGCGAGCGUUGUCCGGAAUUACUGGGCGUAAAGAGCUUGUAGGCGGUUCGU
RNAcentral lists this ribosomal RNA (513 nucleotides) under Nocardia nova. Its description in RNAcentral is "bacterial SSU rRNA". It matches the Rfam family "Bacterial small subunit ribosomal RNA", at positions 53 to 583 of the family's 1533-position model. The record is from RNAcentral. Lineage: Bacteria; Bacillati; Actinomycetota; Actinomycetes; Mycobacteriales; Nocardiaceae.